Molecule: ribosomal RNA, 632 nt
Filed under: Ammonia sp. genotype T2
Lineage: Eukaryota; Foraminifera; Rotaliida; Rotaliidae
Description: partial large subunit ribosomal RNA
Rfam family: Eukaryotic large subunit ribosomal RNA
Source: RNAcentral
UCAGUCAGCGCAGCGUAAUAAUAGAAACUAACCAGGAUUCCCUUAGUAACGGCGAGUGAACUGGGAUGCCAAUAUAUAAUAUGUACCUCGCGUGCAUAAAUUAGCCCGUCGAUACUAUCCUAGCGUAUGUCACCGGUCUUCAGGUCGGUACUCAAAUACGCGGGAAUUGUAGCAUCGUAAUAAUUAAAAAUAUACAGCACACACACACACACACACACAUAAGAACCCACGCCAACCUGCGUACACCACUUGUAAACACACAGCGUCUCCGCGUUGGAAAGCAAGUAUAUAUCCUCUUUGGAUGUGCCAUAGAGUGUGACAGCCACGUUUCACCCAUAUGAUAGUUACGCACACACACACACACAUACACCAAUGGCGCGGCGUGCGAGUGCACAACGUAUAUAUACUAUAACCUGAGUCGAGUUAUUUGGGACUAUAGCUCUAAUAGUUUGGUUGGUGGUAGUGACACAUCAAAGGCUAAAUAUUGGUUAGUCGAUGCAUAUUGCGGAGACCGAUAGCAUACAAGUACCGUAAGGGAACGAUGAAAAGCACCCUAUUGAGUUCACGGCGCAGACUCGACAUUCGUGUUUUGUCCAGCGCCCAACAACUACAGUGGGAGUGAAAGAGAGAGU